This 57-nucleotide transfer RNA is filed under the name Chromis enchrysura (yellowtail reeffish). RNAcentral's name for it is "partial tRNA-Gly". It matches the Rfam family "tRNA", at positions 14 to 71 of the family's 71-position model. Rfam says of the family: Transfer RNA (tRNA) molecules are approximately 80 nucleotides in length. Their secondary structure includes four short double-helical elements and three loops (D, anti-codon, and T loops). Lineage: Eukaryota; Metazoa; Chordata; Actinopteri; Pomacentridae. The record is from RNAcentral.
AAGUUAGUACAUGUGACUUCCAAUCACCUAGCCUUGGUUAAAAUCCAAGGAAAGAUA